RNAcentral lists this transfer RNA (72 nucleotides) under Dipodomys ordii (Ord's kangaroo rat). It matches the Rfam family "tRNA". Rfam says of the family: Transfer RNA (tRNA) molecules are approximately 80 nucleotides in length. Their secondary structure includes four short double-helical elements and three loops (D, anti-codon, and T loops). The record is from Rfam by way of RNAcentral. Lineage: Eukaryota; Metazoa; Chordata; Mammalia; Rodentia; Heteromyidae.
UGGGAUGUAGCUCAGUGGCAAAGCGCUUGCCUAGCAAGUGCCACAUCCUGGGUUCAAUCCCUAGUACCCCCA